GCCGGGCGCGGUGGCUCAAGCCUGUAAUCCCAGCACUUUGGGAGGCCGAGACGGGCGGAUCACGAGGUCAGGAGAUCGAGACCAUCCUGGCUAACACAGUGAAACCCCGUCUCUACUAAAAAUACAAAAAAUUAGCCGGGCGUGGUGGCGGCGCCUGUAGUCCCAGCUACUCGGGAGGCUGAGGCAGGAGAAUGGCGUAAACCCGGGAGGCGGAGCUUGAAGUGAGCGGUCACCCCUCAACGCAAGCUCCGCCUCCCGGGUUUACGCCAUUCUCCUGCCUCAGCCUCCCGAGUAGCUGGGACUACAGGCGCCCGCCACCACGCCCGGCUAGUUUUUUGUAUUUUUUAGUAGAGACGGGGUUUCACCGUGUUAACGAGGAUGGUCUCGAUCUCCUGACCUCGUGAUCCGCCCGUCUCGG
This 418-nucleotide small RNA is filed under the name Papio anubis (olive baboon). Its description in RNAcentral is "Metazoan signal recognition particle RNA (ENSPANG00000037508.1)". The record is from Rfam by way of RNAcentral. Lineage: Eukaryota; Metazoa; Chordata; Mammalia; Primates; Cercopithecidae.